This 3457-nucleotide long non-coding RNA is filed under the name Eucalyptus grandis. Its description in RNAcentral is "long non-coding RNA (EGRA_LNC003884)". The record is from RNAcentral. Lineage: Eukaryota; Viridiplantae; Streptophyta; Magnoliopsida; Myrtales; Myrtaceae.
AUUCAUUUGCUGCUGAUGCCGCUGAGCUAAGAGAACAAAGCUGAAAAGGAUAGUAAAAGGUGGAUCAGCAAACAAGAACCGAUGGAAGUUAAAGCACAAGAACAAGUGCUGUAGAUUAGAUUACAUCUUUUCUUGCAUAAAGGUCCGAGCUCUGAGAAGAUCCGCAUCCAUACCGAACCCAGCAUGAGAGGCCCCACUGCCAGCAGCUACUAUAUUCGGGACAACAUUGCCAUUUUGCGGAGACACACCGGGCAACUGAGCGCCCGAUUGACUAGAAACAUGCCCCGACAUAUCCGCCUGUACAUUCAUCGAGUCAAUCCACAAAAGCCCUCACUCUUCCCGUAAUCAUUCAAAUUCACAAAGGGUCUACGCAUGCCCGAGCUGGCGCUACACGCAUAAAAAAGCUCUAUUCACAGUGAACAAACCACACCCAACACCGCCAGGCACCUGUCGAGACAGCCACGACGAGAGAUUACAGAGGGCAUCGACAGAACAAGCAAAAGCAAACGACAUUCCACAUCACUCUCCCGGAAAUUUUUCCGAGCACGGGGAAUUUGGGGGAGAAAAGAAAAUCCCACAUCGAGAUGACGAAAAAGAUAAAAGCUUUGGUAACGGGGGACGGAUUGAAGGACCAGAGAACCGCCGGGUCGGAAACAGUAACCCUAAGGCACCCAAAGGACACCCCCCGGCGAAACCCUAGGGAGGGCGAAAUCGGGAGGACGAACCUGAAGCGAUGCGCGAUUGGCGGCCGGAGGAGCGACGGUGCGGCGGCGGCGAUCUCAAUUCGGUGCUCAAUCGGAUUGGUCGUGAACUCGACGAUCGACGAUCGACGAUCGACGGAGGAAUUUGGGGAAAGCAGAGAGAGAAGGGAGCGAGGAGAAAAGAGAGGACUGCUGGGCUUCCCGACUCCCAACACGUGCGAGUUCUCACGCGCGAACGGGGCGAGCCAAUUAUAUAUCCAUUUGGAUCAAAUAUAAGCGACGACGGCGAGAGAGAGAGAGAGAGAGAAUGGAAGGGAGCUGGAGAUAUUUAUCAUUAAUUAACCAAGGUCAUAAAUUAGAUUAUAACUUUAUGUGCUUAUCGUAUGCUUCUUCACUCGGGAGGAUUUUUUCCCUUUUUCGGGUGGUUUGGAUAUCGACUCGAGAUUAGUUGUCUCGACACAAAAAAAUGAAUGUGUGAACAAUGAGCUGUAAUGAAAAUAUGCAGUAUUUCAAACGGUACUUUAAUUAUAUCUUUUUUAUGGUAAAAUAUUUUAAUCAUAUCUUUUGUAAGAAAAAAGCGUGUAGAAUUCAUUUAGGAAUGAUGUUUUCAUUUUUCGGGUCGAAUUAUAUAUUGGCUUAGGGUCAAUUGUUUCAAGGCAAAAAAAUAAUCUGAGUGUACGAUGAGGCGUGAUGAAAGCGCACACCAUUUCGAAUGAUACUUUAAUUAUAUCUCACGUGCGGUACAUUUAUAGAAAUUAUUCACAACAGUUUAAAAUCGGAAAUGUUUCUUUAUAAGUAUGCGGUUAGCUUUUUCCAUUUAACGUUAGCCAGAGAUUCGGGUUUCAAUUUUUUUCAAAUAUUAUUAAUUAAAUAUCCUAUAUAUAUUGAUGAUAAUUCGAGUUAUGAAUAAGAUUCAUGGAAUAUGAUGUAUUUAUUGCAAUCAUCUUUUUUUUUUUAAUAUGUGAUCAUUCACAGCAUUUAAGAGAGAAAGUCUGGGACCAAAAAGGGGAAGAAAAUCCCGUUCGAUAGAUUGGGAAAUUACUCUCACACUCCAUGGUCGAAUUUUGAUCAAGUUAUUCAUCUUCAUUUAAAAAAACUCCAUAAACGUUAUCGCAAUUUACUACUAAUUUCCUCCAGCAUUUCUUGAACUGGUUUUUAAAGUCGCGUUUGGGAGAUAAAUUCCCAUUGCGGUAAUAAUGUCACUUUAUGCAAGCUGCAGUGAUUUUUGCGAAACGCGUCGAGGGAUUAAUUAAUAUAAAUUUGUGUCAUUUGGCAAUUGACGGAUCUAUAGUUCAACCACUCGGGGAAGCUUAAGAUAAUGUACAUUUGUUAAUCAGAGUUUUCGCAAUGCUCAUAUAUUAUGAAAACGAUUUCUUUUUAUUAAGAGUAUCCUUAAAGAUCACUUCACCUUCAUUAGAUUUAACAAAAAAAUUCAAUGCAGGAUCUUAAUAUUUUGCAGAUACCUAUCCAUAGAAAAGAAAUUACAUAAAAGAAUUCGAGUAUCAUGUUUGUAACGAUAUUGCUAGAAAAUCAAAGUCUCGUUUAUUCAUCACCGCACUGAAUUUCACAUAGUUACAAUACAAGACAUCUUAUUGCUUAUUCAGCUGAAUAUAUAUUGAGCAUGUAGUAGUAAUACUCUCUAAGUUACUCUCAGUCUUCACUCCCUUUCAGCUGGAUAUUACUCGUUUAGUGUGCCUAUGCUUUGAGAAUUUGCCAAUUGUCCAACAGAAGUUCCAGCAGUGUAUAGAUUUCCACUAUUAUUAUUAAUUCUGGGAGUCGGAAUCAUCUGGCUGCUCAUUCUUGGCACACCCAUCUGUGACAGGGUUGUUUCCUCCAGAACCAAUGGGAUAGUUCGCUUGAGCUUGCUGAUACCCAUUGGAAAGCAGACCUACACCAUUACAAAGGGUAAAAUUGUUGCCAAAAUAAUGCCAAAAGUUUCUAAAACCAAAUUGCAUGACAUUGACAUUUACCAUCAGUUCGGUUAAAGGAACUGCUCUGCAUGACACCACUUGACAUAAGGUUUCCCGUGUUUGCAUUCGUGGGCUGCACGCUGCUGCUCCCACCCAUAUUACUCAUUUGUGCACCCACUGGAUUAGGAUUCACUUGAUUUCGAUUAUUAGGAGAUGGACGCUUGAUCAAACUAUGCAACCGGAACUCCAAUGUGCUCAUAUUCAAAUACUCCUCCUACAUAGUAGUAAUUUUAAGAUAGCAAAAAGAAUGUCAUGUCAUAUUCACCAAACAGAAAAAGGAAAAAUGAUAAUCAUGAGAAAAAAACAUGUGAAACCAGGCAAGAGAAAUGAAUAGAUUAUUGGCUUUCGCCAAUGUAACAUGUAAAGCACAAUAAAAAAUUCCAAUAAAGGAUAAUCACAAGCCACUUAUUGUACUUUUACUAAGGAGAAGAAGAGAGAAUUGAUGAGGAGGGGAAGACCUUGGAGGGAGCAGUUUUGAAGAGACCCUCUUCCAGGCGUUUGACGAUAUCCUUCAGCUUCUGUCUUUGAGAGUCAUUCAUUCGCUGAUGAUACCGCUGAUGAUGCCGCUGAGCUAAGAGAAGAAAGCUGAAAAGGAUAGUAAAAGGUGGAUCAGCAAACAAGAACCGAUGGAAGUUAAAGCACAAGAACAAGUGCUGUAGAUUAGCUUACAUCUUUUCUUGCAUAUAGUUCCGAGCUCUGAGAAGAUCCGCAUCCAUACCGAACCCACCAUGUGGGGCCCCACUGCCAGCAGCUACUAUAUUCGGGACAACAUUGCCAUUUUGCGGG